RNAcentral lists this long non-coding RNA (1519 nucleotides) under Gallus gallus (chicken). Lineage: Eukaryota; Metazoa; Chordata; Aves; Galliformes; Phasianidae. The record is from RNAcentral.
CAAGAAGUGGUGUUUUUUUUACCCUAAGCAAACCACCCUGGGUCCAGGGUUUUGGUGUUAGGCCUGGCUUUAGUUUUGUUACUGAUCCUGUCUCUCAGCAGCUAAUGAUUUUGUUUGUUUUUUUCUUUCAGGGAACUACACUUGAAAUGACUUUAUAGGAAGUUUAUAGUCUUUUGUAUUGAAGGGACAUUGUUCAGUGUAACUGUGAACACCAUCUUUAAAACGCAAUCAUAUCCCAGUUCUCUAUCAUCACGUGUCUGACGUGUAUUUUUCAACCCUACUGCAGUUGUCCUACUCAGAUUAGAAAGCAAAGCUUCCUUCAGGAUUAGCAUGUGUAAUGCCGUAGUGGGGUAGAAAGUACUACAAUAAUAGCAAAGUCUUUGGCUACAGCAAAUGAGAAUGAGACCAAAUGCAGGAGCCCCAGAUGCAGAAAUGAACAAAAACAGCUGCUUACCUUCAGAAGGCCUCAGGUAGGCAGGGAUCUCCGGUAAUAUAGCCUUGCCUCCACUGCCAAUCCUUAAAUGGGAGGGGGGAUGGAUCCUGGCUCUAUCCCUUCUGGUCACUCAGGUACAUUGCAUGCACCUGAGCUCCCCUGCAUUGGCUCUGCCUUCCUACCAGGUGCUGAAUCACUGCGUUGGCCAUGACUUUGCAUUUCCACUACAGCAGGUGGCGUAAAUGAUGUCUGACAGCUAGAAGAUGCUGUGAGUGCACCAAGACUUCAUUACCUUAUUAAAACCGUUCAAUCCUGUUGGAUCGUAAUGCUCAUUAAAUGAAGGCAAUCGAGUACCGUCACCGAAGGUAGGCAUUUUAUUUUCAAUGUGAAAAGUUCUUGUACAAAUUCCCUUGUUCUUUCCUGUUCUGGCAAUCAAUAUGCACUUACAAAAGAGCAGGUUUGUCAUUUUUCCCAAAGACAAAUAAGCAAAGCGUAAUGGCUGUAAAAAUUGAUCGAUGUUACUAUUUGAAGCAUGUGUGGAAAUAAAAGAAGUGUCAGACAACUUAGCACUGCAAGCAACAUGGAAGGUGGUUGGAAUUCAAAUAGCAUGUAAUUGACUUUCUGUUUAAAAUUAGCAGGAAAAAUAAUCUGUAUGAGUUUUACUACUGUGGACAGGAAACUCAAAGCCCAGAGUCCCCAGUUAUUUUUCCGUCUCACUGGCAUCCUGUGUGCUGGAUCUCUGCACAACGGGCUUUAUUUACUCUGACAGAAGUGUAGUAAGGAUUAAUGGAUCUUCUCUCAUACUCCAAAAUCUUUGUGUUGACUGAAGGGAAGACAGGAUAGAGAAUUGUGGAGUGCAAUCUUAGUGCGUCUUAGAAUUGGGAAGAUUUUACCUAAACUUGGUCCUGUCUGAUGCACCUAUCUUGCAGGUACGUCAGUGAAAAAAACAGAGGAAGAAGAAUCAAAAGCGGAAGUGGGUAAUUGCUUCAUCCAGCAUCACAUUUCUGCAGGGGCAUGUUUGAUUCCUGAAGAGGGUAAGGGUUAGGGGUGUCAUUUGCCCCAGGGCCACGGAGUGAAGAGACGCUG